RNAcentral lists this ribosomal RNA (338 nucleotides) under uncultured bacterium. RNAcentral's name for it is "bacterial SSU rRNA". It matches the Rfam family "Bacterial small subunit ribosomal RNA", at positions 1 to 334 of the family's 1533-position model. The record is from RNAcentral.
CUAGUACAGUUCAGAGUUUGAUCCUGGCUCAGGACGAACGCUGGCGGCGUGCUUAACACAUGCAAGUCGAACGAUGAAGCGGUACUUGUACCGUGGAUUAGUGGCGAACGGGUGAGUAACACGUGAGUAACCUGCCCUUCACUCUGGGAUAACUCCGGGAAACCGGUGCUAAUACUGGAUAUGACCCUGGCCCGCAUGGGCGUGGGGUGGAAAGUUUUUCGGUGGAGGAUGGACUCGCGGCCUAUCAGCUUGUUGGUGGGGUAAUGGCCUACCAAGGCGACGACGGGUAGCCGGCCUGAGAGGGCGACCGGCCACACUGGGACUGAGACACGGCCCAG